RNAcentral lists this ribosomal RNA (446 nucleotides) under uncultured bacterium. RNAcentral describes it as "partial 16S ribosomal RNA". It matches the Rfam family "Bacterial small subunit ribosomal RNA", at positions 354 to 796 of the family's 1533-position model. The record is from RNAcentral.
GUAAGGAAUAUUGGUCAAUGGGGGCAACCCUGAACCAGCCAUGCCGCGUGAAGGAUGAAGGCGUUAUGCGUUGUAAACUUCUUUUGUAUGGGAAGAAUGACAGGGAUUUAUCCUUGGAGAGACGGUACCAUACGAAUAAGCACAGGCUAACUCCGUGCCAGCAGCCGCGGUAAUACGGAGGGUGCACGCGUUAUCCGGAAUCACUGGGUUUAAAGGGUACGUAGGCGGGUACUUAAGUCAGUAGUGAAAGACUGUCGCGCAACGACGGAUGUGCUAUAGAUACUGGUUAACUUGAAUCAGGUUAGAGUUGGCGGAAUGGGUCAUGUAGCGGUGAAAUGCUUAGAUAUAGGAAGGAACACCAGUGGCGAAGGCGACUACCUGGACUGAUACUGACACUGAGGUGCGAAAGCGUGGGGAGCAAACAGGAUUAGAAACCCUUGUAGUCC